RNAcentral lists this transfer RNA (82 nucleotides) under Maudiozyma exigua. Its description in RNAcentral is "Kazachstania exigua partial transfer RNA". Lineage: Eukaryota; Fungi; Ascomycota; Saccharomycetes; Saccharomycetales; Saccharomycetaceae. The record is from RNAcentral.
CGACACCAGCAGGAUUUGAACCAGCGCGGGCAGAGCCAACCAGAUUUCAAGUCUGUCGCCUUAACCACUCGGCCAUAGUGCC